Molecule: long non-coding RNA, 1648 nt
Organism: Oreochromis niloticus (Nile tilapia)
Lineage: Eukaryota; Metazoa; Chordata; Actinopteri; Cichliformes; Cichlidae
Exons: 3
Source: RefSeq, a predicted model, not a curated record
UAUGUCCUAGUGCAGUCAGAGGGGAAGAGCCAGGGCAAAAGGUGAGGCACAUCAAGCACAGAAUAAUAAUUUUAAUCUGAGGAUAAAACGCAAGUACUGAGGCUGAAAGAAGCUUCAGUGCUCUCAGAAGACUAAAAACAUGGCUAAGGUCAACAGUGACUCCAAUGAGAUUAAACAAUGCUGCUGUAUGCCAUGUCCACCAGGAGUGACUGGACAGUAUAGAUGUAAAACAAAUAUGGCAGCAGUUUAUCUCCGUUAACGAGAGGAGAAGGCAUGUGUUUGGCUCCUUCACAUAGUGGACAUUGAGUUGUUGUGUGGGGCACCAGUAGUCCACAUCUCUUGCUGUAACAGUAUUUCAUGUUUAGAAUAAAAAAUCCCAGCUCACUGACUUGAUCGGGGCAACAGUGCGCCUAAAAUGUUGCAUAAUUUUGCUGAGAGACCUUUUACUUUGUGGUAAUCUGAUGUAGCCGGAUGGGCUACUCGCCUUUCUUUUCUCUCUCGCUCACUCUACUGCUCUCUCCUGCGCUCGCUCUCUCCUGCGCUCGCUCUCGCUGCGCAACUACGCUAAUUAGGAACCCACCUGUAUAUUGAUUACAGGGUGGUGUUUACCUGUAUAAAGGGAAGCCGGUUUUUCUUGUUGGAUCAUUCCUCCCGAGCUUCUGGUGCGACACAGCAGUAAAUGCUGGCCUAUCGGUUAAUUUUACGAUCGGAUCGUGUGACCGCUACAGCGCGGCUGUUUUUCUUUCCUUUGCUCCAGCCGUGGUGAGGAGACGCGUGAGUGCAUCCGCCGUGCAGUACAGCGCCUCCAAGUUCUGGGGUAAGCCGCUUAUUUUAUAGCUGCUAGUUUUGUAAAUUAAAGAAGAUUAAGGUUAGUUUUGCCUUUUCUUAUUUGUAGGAUUUGAUUGCUGCCGCACCCUCUCAGGGAUCAACUGCCUGAUUUUUAAGCGAAGAGUUGAGGCACCUGCCCUGCUGCUGUCUUGUUUUGUUGAUUUUGUUAUAUUACGGUUAAUCUGUCGGCGGCCCAGUUUUCCCCUGUAGCUUGCCUUUCCACGCCCUUUUGGACUAUUGUUCGCUCCAGCUUUUGUGGCUGGCCGGGGCGAUUCUCGGCCGUAUACUGGGCCGGUUAUACGAACUGGUACUGCCUUUCCCCUUUCUCCCAGCUGUGAAGUUGUGUGAGACCGAGCAGACCAAGGAUAAUCGGACCCAGCACCAGUUGUGGGCUGGUUCGCCGAGUGAAAGUAUUUUUAAUCAGUGCUCUGUGGUGUAUAACUGGGUGUGUUGUAUCACCGACUUUUGUUUUCCUUUAAUUGUUUCUUUCUUUUGUUUUCUAGGUUGAGAGCUUGUUUAUGUCCCAUGUUUUUAUCCUUUUUAAUGUGUUUAUCUCGUGCUUUUAUUUCAGCGAACUGAGGAUUUACCAGCGGCCGUGGGACCUCAGGUGGUGGGUCGUUUUCCACACUACUUUUGUUGUACAGCACCAGGUGAAUAGACUAUAGUAGGUUUCUUUGUGUGGUUCUUUUGGUCCACCGCUGCUGGUAAGUCCCAGUUGUAUUUAUUUUUAUUGUAAUUUGGGACACCGUUUUAGAUAUUCAGUGCGCUGUUGUUUUGUUUUUCAUUUUACAUUAAUAAAUAAAAUUGUGUUUAUAUUUGA